Long non-coding RNA from Penaeus indicus, 3515 nucleotides. RefSeq lists it as uncharacterized. The record is from RefSeq and is a predicted model, not a curated record. The transcript is spliced from 2 exons. NCBI's taxonomy places the organism in Eukaryota, Metazoa, Arthropoda, Malacostraca, Decapoda, Penaeidae.
CGAUUUCCAUUUCUUAAAAUAGUUUCAUCGCAUUUCUUUGCAAUAGAAUCUACAUCAAAUCAGCCCUCUAGAACACAUCUCAUAACCACCCGCAAUAUCCUGCAUGUGAGUGCAUGCGGAGGGUCACAUCUUCUAGAACAUUCGCCACUGCGCAAUACCCGUACCUAUUUAAGGCCGUGGCGUGCACCCAGUGACGCAUUUGGGCUCCAGCGGCGGACGGCGAAGCUACGCGACGUUCUUCAAUCAACACCCAUAUAUACAUUCUAUAGUCGGAAAGUUCAUCUAUAGUGACUCAUAGGGAAAAGGAAUCGAAGCGGGAAAUGGCGAAGAACGAGCGACGACGUGCGGGUGAAAGGAGAGGAUGGAGAAAGGAAGAAGAGAAGGAACACGUGGCGGGUGACGGCGCGGGGUGAAGCCAGCCGGACAGCCGGACACCCUGAGGGUUGCCAGAUGAACAUCUAUCACCUUUGUUAGAAACGGGUCCUCUUACCUGCCUUCCUGAUAGAUAAGUGUGGCUGACAUGUGGCAGGUGUUGCAAGGGUAGGAAAAUAUAUGCAACAUUUGCCCGUGUUGGGACAGGUAAAUCAGAAGAUCCUACUGUUAAUUACAUUGGCGAGUUUCCUUUAUUUUUCUUCUCUUUAGCAUUCUUAAAUUGGAACACAGUAAAGGUAGUUUGUAUGAAUAAAACGGUUUCUGUUGGUUGUUUCAUUUGGUACGAAGGUUGUUGCAGGUGUAUGAUAAUCCCAGAAUGUUCUCGAUGUACGUUUUCUAUGAAGGUGUGAUGAGGAUGCAUGAUGGCGUGGGCGAGUGUUCUCGAUGUCCGUUUUCUUUCAUGCUGCGUGGAGGAGGUUUCAUGCUGCGUGGAGGAGGGACUCAAAAGAAAUUGGAUUCGCUAUUUUUCAUGCCUUGUACAUACGAAGGGCAGUGACGAUACCAUACUGGCCAGUAUGAAUUGAAGUGCUAUACAUGGGCAUUUGAUAUAGAUGGUUAUUUCUACUGCAUUAUGAUUAUAGCCAUUUAUGAACUCAUUGGCUUGAUUUAGCGGAAGAGAAAGUGUAAUUACGGAGAUUAACAAGUAACCGAAACAAAUUUUCGAUGGCUGAUCAGCCUUAAAAUGGUUACGUAUGAGAAUUAUGCAAAGGCAGCACUCCGGAACAAUCAAAAUUAUUUUACCCUGAAACUACAAGUAACGGUGGUAAAUUCCUUAUUGUGAUCACAAUUAGGUAUCUAAAAUAUAAAAAAUGUUAUCUAUAAAAAUGGUUUAUGAAGGUAUACAUAUACCAAGACAAUGGUAUAUGGAGGUAUACAUAUACCAAGACAGGAAUUGGUAAACCAAAGAAAACCCAACUAUCCAGUUGUCUUGUAAUUAAGAGGAAUGAAUUGGUAUUUUACAAAGUAUUAAAACAAUUAGCGUGCCCUAAAUAGCGGAGCAAACAGUCACACAAAAUGGCGGAAGACUACGUUUUCUAUUACCCGGUUGAAGUGGGGGUGACUAACGAAUAUAACUUCUCCUUUUUUACCCUUUUUCUUGAAUGAUAAAAGAAGGUAAAGCGAAUGAGUAAAAGGAAAAGUGAAUAAUAAAAGUAUAUAUAAAUGAGAAGAGCAAACCAACUACUAAAAGGCAGUUCACCAUUAUAAGGAUUAAACCACAAAUUGACGAAAUACUUUGACCAAUAACCAAAAACUAUAAACAGUUAAACUGUUAACUACAUACAAAUGGACCAGUAUAUCUUGCGAAAAAAAAAAAUAUAUAUAUCUAUAUAUAUGAAGUGUAUACUAAUAUACAUAUAUAAUAUGUAUACACAGUACAUAUAUACAUAUAUGUAACAUACAUAUAUACAUAUAUGUAACAUAUAUGUAUGUAUGUUGUGGAAAAGACUUUCCUUGUUCAAAAAUGACAAAUAUGCCAAAACAAAUCUUUUGACAUGCAAAGCAGCAUUUCUCCAUGCUUCAUAUACUGACAGCAGAAUGGGUGCACUGAGAUUGAAGGAUACUGCAGUGGGUUGAAUUGUGUGAGUGCUUGAUAUAAUCUACCACUUCUAUUUAAUUCAUAUGUUUACUAUCAAUUGAUUAUCUUUAUACAUUAAGCAUUUUACUAAGUUCUAUCAUGUUGCGCAACAAUAUCCACCCCUUAGUAAGUUCUUUUUAUUUUAUAUUUAAAUAUUACAUCAUUGUUAUUCACGCUAAGAUGCCUUGGUGUUGGUACUAAUGGAACAUCUGGUUAUGAAGCAAUUCAUCAAAUCACCUCCCUUACUUGCAUGGACAACCUGCAGGCCGUCUUAUCCUAUGCCCCCAAUCAUCCUAAACCUUAUCAUAAGAAGAAAAUACUUUUAUCAUUAACGAUACAUUACGUCAAAGCAUACUUGUAUCAUAAACAGUAGAUGACGUCUAAGGAGAUUAAUGUCUCAGCAAAGCAUCUUGGAAGGUGUUAACCAGGUUUUCUCAUGCUCCGUUUGAUUGUUAAAAAUAUUCUUGACCUGCCUGUUUUCCUUCUUAGCUUUCCGCUAAUUUUCUACUUGGCUUUUGCUGCAGUAUUUGAUCACCAAACUUUACCUGCUUAUAUACCCUAGGCUGAGCAAUGCCCUGCACAAUAUACUCUUCUCCACCUACCUUUUUUUAAAAUCUAUAAGUACAGUUGUAGGAAUAUCAAUUACAUAUAGUACAUGAGUUGAAGCUAUAUAUACUAAGUAAUCUUUAAGAAAUUCAAAAGUCUUCUUAAUUUCAUACAGAAAGUAAUAUGAGCACUACUAAAAUUUAAUUAUACAAGCAAAAAAGAAAGUAACACAAGCACUACUCAUUUUAAACAGCUCACACCUACUGUAUAUGAAAGACAUUGAAUCGUGAUUUAUAAAUUUUCCUUAUCAAAUUAUGUAAUGAGACUAUUCAAAAAUUUUAGUCUUCAAACGGACAGUUGCUUGGUUCCUUGGCCUCACCUGUAAAGUAGAUAUUAUGAUUCAUGGGGAUUUUUUCAUCCAUUUAUAGUAGUACAGGUUGCUUUAAUAAAUAAUCAUAGAGUUGUUAACAAUAUGCACCUGAUUUCUUGAAUCAUUUGGAUUAAUUAUUCAUUUACAUAUAGUGUCAUUAAUGUUAAUGCUAAUGAUAUUGAUGUUCUCAUUUGGUUAUUGAUGAUAAUAUAGAUGAGAAAAUGUUUCUCUCGGAAAAUGCAAAUACUAGGGUAUUGAGGUGAGAUCAGGUAUGCCCAAUAAUACCUUCCUUGAUGGUAAUAACUUGUAAAGUCUUCUUUAAGUAUACACUACACUUUAAGUAUACACUAAGAUAAGGUAUCAACUGGAUAACAACAACAAUAUAAUGAAAAGAACAAUAUUUAGCAAUUUAGCAUUUUUCAGAAAGUAUCUAUACAUCUACAUUUCGGAUAACCAUGUCACAACUUCUAUUAAAGUUAAUGUAUGGUAUAAUAACCUCUCGUCAUUGACACAGACUAAUCACUACAAAUCUGUAUCAAUGUACUACAGUUAUAUUUCCAGUUUAAUUACAAAUAAAUCCAUUUGAAGAGA